Helianthus annuus (common sunflower) is the source of this 280-nucleotide RNA transcript. RefSeq lists it as uncharacterized. NCBI's taxonomy places the organism in Eukaryota, Viridiplantae, Streptophyta, Magnoliopsida, Asterales, Asteraceae. The transcript has 3 exons. The record is from RefSeq and is a predicted model, not a curated record.
UCAAGAUAAAUCUAAAUGAGAACACCAUUGUCGAGCAAUCUGCCGAACCUGUUGGUGCUGAAUGGGGAUUUGAUUUUUCUCCAUUUGAGUCAGUUGUUGAAGACCCUGAUAAUGACGGCAAGUCAUUCAAAAGCCCUAUUGACGUUAUCGGUUUUGUGGUGAAGUGUCUUCCGUCAGAGGAGAAGACUGAAAAUAAUAACGGGAAAGAUGAGAAGAAGGCUACCUUUAUUCUGGAGGAUUUGCAACACCAGCAGAUUUACGUUACUCUGUGGGGGGUUUA